This 86-nucleotide transfer RNA is filed under the name Opitutia bacterium. Its description in RNAcentral is "tRNA-Ile". It matches the Rfam family "tRNA". Rfam says of the family: Transfer RNA (tRNA) molecules are approximately 80 nucleotides in length. Their secondary structure includes four short double-helical elements and three loops (D, anti-codon, and T loops). Lineage: Bacteria; Pseudomonadati; Verrucomicrobiota; Opitutia. The record is from RNAcentral.
GGAGAGAUGGCUGAGUGGUCGAAAGCGCCCGCCUGAUAAGCGGGUAAGGACUUCAAAGCCUUCGCGGGUUCGAAUCCCGCUCUCCA